GGGAGGAGGACCUUGGGGGGAGCGCCGGGGGAGGGCCGGAGGAGCUGGGACCCUACUGCCUCCCGGCGGGCUGGGGACCAUUCCAGACCCCAGGAUGGAGAAGAGCGAGGAACAGAGCCCAGAAGGGAGGAAGUGGCUGGCUGAUGGAAGCGGGGGAGGUGGGAAGGGCUCAGCGAUCACCCGAAAAUGCCAAUUGUGAUACCGGUGGAGGAUGCUUCUCACAAGACACCAAAGACCUCAAGGACUCAAGGACAUCAAUUCACGGAAAUACUGCCCAUCCUACCACAAACCCUCAACCUCCAGUUCAACUUGCAGUGUUCUACACGGUGACUGCCCCUUCAGCAUUGAGUCCAGUGAUGACAAGGAAUAGAACCUCAGCUGAUCCUUGGUGGGCAUGGAACAUAAAUAAGAAAUAAAGCCUUGUUAUUUGAAGGCAGUGACAUUUGAGGGAUGUUUGUUAUUACAGCAUAACC
Molecule: long non-coding RNA, 473 nt
Filed under: Homo sapiens (human)
Lineage: Eukaryota; Metazoa; Chordata; Mammalia; Primates; Hominidae
Description: HSALNT0280626
Source: RNAcentral